GGUUUCGAUCAUACCAGCACUAAUGCACCGGAUCCCAUCAGAACUCCGCAGUUAAGCGUGCUUGGGCUAGAGUAGUACUAGGAUGGGUGACCCCCUGGGAAGUCCUCGUGUUGCAACCC
This 119-nucleotide ribosomal RNA is filed under the name Helianthus annuus (common sunflower). The record is from RNAcentral. Lineage: Eukaryota; Viridiplantae; Streptophyta; Magnoliopsida; Asterales; Asteraceae.